ACCAGAAGGCAGUACCAUGGCGACUCCCCCGCCCGCACCCCUGCCACAGCCAGUCACCCACCUCAUCUUUGACAUGGACGGACUUCUUUUGGAUACUGAAUGGCUCUAUUCAGUGGUGUUUCAAGAAAUAUGUGAUCGCUAUGACAAGAAAUACAGCUGGUUAUGGGUAAGAAGGCAUUAGAGGCGGCACAGAUUAUAAUAGACGUCUUGCAGCUCCCGAUGUCCAAAGAGGAGCUAGUGGAAGAAAGCCAAACGAAGUUAAAGGAAGUGUUCCCCAUGGCUGCGCUCAUGCCAGGGGCCGAGAAACUCAUCAUCCACCUGUGGAAACACGGCAUCCCCUUUGCCCUGGCCACCAGCUCAGGGUCUGCAUCGUUUGAGAUGAAGACAAGCCAGCACAAGGAGUUCUUCAGCUUGUUUUCUCACAUCGUGCUGGGAGGCGACCCUGAAGUGCAGCAUGGCAAGCCAGACCCUGACAUCUUCCUAGCUUGUGCCAAGAGGUUCUCUCCCCCUCUUCCUAUGGAGAAGUGCCUUGUCUUUGAAGAUGCUCCCAAUGGGGUGGAGGCGGCCCUGGCAGCUGGGAUGCAGGUGGUCAUGGUUCCAGAUGGAAACUUGAGCCGAGACCUGACGACAAAGGCCACUGUGGUGCUGAAUUCCCUGCAAGACUUCCAGCCCGAGCUGUUUGGUUUGCCUCUCUAUGACUGAAAGAGAGGGCCUCACUUUGCCACCCCCCAGCCCACUCUCAUGGUCCACACUGCUGGGGAAAAGAAAAGGAAAUCAGCAACUCUCAAACCCCAGCGUGCACAGUGAUUUUAGCCUCCUGAGAUUGGUGUUUCCAUCCUGCGUUGGCUUGCCCUACUCUAGCGUAUUGAUAAAACGUGACUUGACAGUUGAAAGAAACACGGUAGAGACAGAAACAAAACCCAGAACAAAGAUGAAACUUGAAUUACCAUCUCAAAAAUCAGGCUGACGGACUAUGCGAUAAAGUGAAUGUACAUGUAUACAUCUACACAUGCACCUCUAUAUAUGCAGAUGUAUAUCAGUAAGUUAAUAUGCAUGUAGGAAAUUACAUGUGUAUGUAUGUAGAUAUAUGUGAAAUACAUACUUUUCAAAGACAAAAAUGGAACAUCAUUUCUCUUUUAUUCUAGUUUUCCUGAACACUGGGAAAUGUAAACUGUGUAUGCAUAUAAGUAUAUGCUUUAUAUAUUCAUAUGUAUGUACAUAUAUCUGUCAUCUGCAUCACUCUCCUCAGUGUUGAUGUCAGCAUACAGUGACAGCUGAUAAAGCGAGAUGGUAGUUCUGCCUGGCUUCCAGUCUGAGUGGGAAAGCCCUGCUUUUGAUGAGCACUAAGAAGUGCUUCUCCUUGUUAGCUAACAUUUAAAUUCUUUUUGUGACCUCAGAAUGUCUCUGGAUCUUUCCUCAUUGACUAACUCUGAGCCACAUCAUCCAUAGUUUAUUGUUAGUAUGAACACAACUGUAGCAUUUACCUGGUAUCUACAUCCUUAUCUACAUUGGAGAAUGCUUUCUACCUCAGAGCAAACAUUUGCCUCCUUAAAGAACACUGAUGGCCUACACUUUUUGGAUAGAAAUAGAAGUUGAUUUCAGAAAGUAUGCUUG
This is an RNA transcript of Sapajus apella (tufted capuchin), 1614 nucleotides long. It is a transcript of the gene named pseudouridine-5'-phosphatase pseudogene, with no coding region annotated. Lineage: Eukaryota; Metazoa; Chordata; Mammalia; Primates; Cebidae. The transcript has a single exon. The record is from RefSeq and is a predicted model, not a curated record.